GAUGAACGCUGGCGGCGUGCCUAAUACAUGCAAGUCGAGCGAACAGAUAAGGAGCUUGCUCCUUUGACGUUAGCGGCGGACGGGUGAGUAACACGUGGGUAACCUACCUAUAAGACUGGAAUAACUCCGGGAAACCGGGGCUAAUGCCGGAUAACAUGUUGAACCGCAUGGUUCUACAGUGAAAGGCGGCUUUGCUGUCACUUAUAGAUGGACCCGCGCCGUAUUAGCUAGUUGGUGAGGUAACGGCUCACCAAGGCAACGAUACGUAGCCGACCUGAGAGGGUGAUCGGCCACACUGGAACUGAGACACGGUCCAGACUCCGACGGGAGGCAGCAGUAGGGAAUCUUCCGCAAUGGGCGAAAGCCUGACGGAGCAACGCCGCGUGAGUGAUGAAGGUCUUCGGAUCGUAAAACUCUGUUAUUAGGGAAGAACAAAUGCGUAAGUAACUGUGCGCGUCUUGACGGUACCUAAUCAGAAAGCCACGGCUAACUACGUG
Molecule: ribosomal RNA, 497 nt
Filed under: uncultured bacterium
Lineage: Bacteria
Description: partial 16S ribosomal RNA
Rfam family: Bacterial small subunit ribosomal RNA
Source: RNAcentral